Long non-coding RNA from Coffea eugenioides, 654 nucleotides. RefSeq lists it as uncharacterized. The transcript has 2 exons. The record is from RefSeq and is a predicted model, not a curated record. Lineage: Eukaryota; Viridiplantae; Streptophyta; Magnoliopsida; Gentianales; Rubiaceae.
UCAUAGAUUGCCAUUUAUUUUAAACUUGUAUGAAAUUGUGAAUCUUUCGGCCAUUUUUUACAAGGUAAAGAACAGAGCUAUGGAUAAGCCAAUACAUGGGAAAGCAGCUGGUUGGAUUUUAAGUCAUUCCUUGCAGAAACAGAAUUCGCCUCCAUUCUGAUGGCGAAUGCUGCUAAUGGGGCUUGUCAGCCCUUUAAGGAAACAUAGCUUGGUCUCCUCAAGAAGCUUUCAUUGAUCUGUUGAAGGAUUCUGAGUUGGCACAUCUGAAAAGCUUGAGUGGUAACCCUCGUACCAAUUCAUCAGGAGCCUCCCUAUAGGAUGCAUAUCUUCUGAUCUAAAGGGAAGGUGCUGUAACAAGAUUUGCUGCCCCAACAUUGAAUGGUACUGGCAUUACCAGAUUGUCUACUUUGAGAUUGAUCAUAUUCUAAUUGGAUGCUAAGUUGUCAAAAUUUGCUCAAAUUCUCAGAAAAUACUUGUCUAUGCCUAUGUUAUGUAUGCCUCAAUACAGUAUACACCAUUAUGCUGGCUUCAGUUCUAUGUUAGGGAUGUCUCAGUGCAGUAUACACGAUUAUUGCUACAUGUAAAAGUCAAUGAGUAUUACAAUUUAACACAUUGUAACGUAUAUGAUCUUGCACAAUCUAUUUUGAGCUUUGG